CCUACGGGAGGCAGCAGUGAGGAAUAUUGGUCAAUGGACGAGAGUCUGAACCAGCCAAGUAGCGUGAAGGAUGACUGCCCUAUGGGUUGUAAACUUCUUUUAUAUGGGAAUAAAAUGUUCCACGUGUGGGAUUUUGUAUGUACCAUAUGAAUAAGGAUCGGCUAACUCCGUGCCAGCAGCCGCGGUACUACGGAGGAUCAGAGCGUUAUCUGGAUUUAUUGGGUUUAAAGGGAGCGUAGGUGGAUUGUUAAGUCAGUUGUGAAAGUUUGCGGCUCAACCGUAAAAUUGCAGUUGAAACUGGCAGUCUGGAGUACAGUAGAGGUGGGCGGAAUUCGGGGUGUAGCGGUGAAAUGCUUAGAUAUCACGAAGAACUCCGAUUGCGAAGGCAGCUCACUGGACUGCAACUGACACUGAGGCUCGAAAGUGUGGGUAUCAAACAGGAUUAGAGACCCGUGUAGUC
Molecule: ribosomal RNA, 460 nt
Filed under: uncultured bacterium
Lineage: Bacteria
Description: partial 16S ribosomal RNA
Rfam family: Bacterial small subunit ribosomal RNA
Source: RNAcentral